Molecule: ribosomal RNA, 465 nt
Filed under: Vreelandella stevensii
Lineage: Bacteria; Pseudomonadati; Pseudomonadota; Gammaproteobacteria; Oceanospirillales; Halomonadaceae
Description: partial 16S ribosomal RNA
Rfam family: Bacterial small subunit ribosomal RNA
Source: RNAcentral
CCUACGGGCGGCAGCAGUGGGGAAUAUUGGACAAUGGGGGGAACCCUGAUCCAGCCAUGCCGCGUGUGUGAAGAAGGCCCUCGGGUUGUAAAGCACUUUCAGUGAGGAAGAACGCCUGGUGGUUAAUACCCAUCAGGAAAGACAUCACUCACAGAAGAAGCACCGGCUAACUCCGUGCCAGCAGCCGCGGUAAUACGGAGGGUGCGAGCGUUAAUCGGAAUUACUGGGCGUAAAGCGCGCGUAGGUGGCUUGAUAAGCCGGUUGUGAAAGCCCCGGGCUCAACCUGGGAACGGCAUCCGGAACUGUCAAGCUAGAGUGCAGGAGAGGAAGGUAGAAUUCCCGGUGUAGCGGUGAAAUGCGUAGAGAUCGGGAGGAAUACCAGUGGCGAAGGCGGCCUUCUGGACUGACACUGACACUGAGGUGCGAAAGCGUGGGUAGCAAACAGGAUUAGAUACUCGAGUAGUC